AUUGAACGCUGGCGGCAGGCCUAACACAUGCAAGUCGAGCGGAUGAAGGGAGCUUGCUCCUGGAUUCAGCGGCGGACGGGUGAGUAAUGCCUAGGAAUCUGCCUGGUAGUGGGGGAUAACGUCCGGAAACGGGCGCUAAUACCGCAUACGUCCUGAGGGAGAAAGUGGGGGAUCUUCGGACCUCACGCUCUCAGAUGAGCCUAGGUCGGAUUAGCUAGUUGGUGGGGUAAAGGCCUACCAAGGCGACGAUUCGUAACUGGUCUGAGAGGAUGAUCAGUCACACUGGAACUGAGACACGGUCCAGACUCCUACGGGAGGCAGCAGUGGGGAAUAUUGGACAAUGGGCGAAAGCCUGAUCCAGCCAUGCCGCGUGUGUGAAGAAGGUCUUCGGAUUGUAAAGCACUUUUAGUUGGGAGGAAAAGCAGUAAGUUAAUACCUUGCUGUUUUGACGGUACCAAAAGAAUAAGCACCGGCUAACUUCGUG
This 484-nucleotide ribosomal RNA is filed under the name uncultured bacterium. RNAcentral's name for it is "partial 16S ribosomal RNA". It matches the Rfam family "Bacterial small subunit ribosomal RNA", at positions 30 to 507 of the family's 1533-position model. The record is from RNAcentral.